CACAUGUGUUCUAUGUUUUCUGCUUUGUAUUGAUCUGAUGAGUUAAGCCCUUUUCAACUGAUUUUUAUACGACCGCAAAAAUUUUGCGGUCAUAUAUUGGUAUGACGUUGGCGUCGUCGUCGUCCGAAGACACAUUAGUUUUCGCACUAUAACUUUAGUUUAAGUGAAUGGAUCUCUAUGAAAUUUUACCAUAAGGUUCAAUACCACAAAAGGAAGGUUGGGAUUGAUUUUGGGGGUUAUGGUAAUAACAGUAAAGGAAUUAGGGGCCAAAAAGGGGCCAAAAAUAAGCAUUUUUGUAACUUCCAGACAUAACUUGUGUGUUAGUGUAUGGAUCUCUCUGACAUUGUACCACAAGGUUCCAUAUCACUAAAGGAAUGCUGGGAUUGAUUUUGGGGGUAAUUGCCUCCAAAUUUUAGGAAUUAGGGGCCAAAAAAGGGGCAAAAAACAAGCAUUUUUCUAGUUUCAUGACAAUAACUUGUGUGUAAGUGUAUGGAUCUUUCUGAAAUUGUACUACAAGGUUCCAUAUCACAAAGGGAAAGCUGGGUUUGAGUUUGGGGGUAAUUGCCCUAAACGUUUAGGAAUUUGGGGCCAAAAAACACAUUUUUUUCUAGUUUCCAGACAAUAACUUGUGUUCAAGUGUAUGGAUCUCUCUGAAAUUGUACUGCAAGGUACCAUACCACAAAGGGAAGGCUGGGAUUGAGUUUGGGGGUGAUGAAUCAUAAUGGGGGUUCAAAAAAUUUUGGGGGGGGAUUUAUUUUUUUUUCCUUUUUUUCUUUUUUUCCUUUUUUGUUUCUUUUAAAAUUUUCCAUUUUAAGUUGGUUAUUUCUGAUUUAUAUUUAAAAUCAAAUAAUAAUGAUAUGGUAGGAGAUACACACCAAACAGGAUGUGUAAAUUAUUAUAUAAUAAGUAUUGUGCAAUAGCAAGAAAUUUUCAAUUGCACAGUAUUGCACAAUAGCAAGAAAUCUUCAAUUGCACAGUAUUGCGCAAUAGCAAGAAAUCUUCAAUUGCACAGUAUUGCGCAAUAGCAAGAAAUAUCCAAUAGCACAAUAUUGCGCAAUAGCAAGAAAUUGUCAAUUGUACAGUAUUGCGCAAUAGCAAGAAAUAUUUAAUAGCACAGGAUUGUGCAAAAGAAGAUACUUCCUAUAAAUUGCUUAUUUCUUGACCAAUUUCAAUGGGGUUUUAUUCUUGAUUUCAUGGGGUUCUUUAAUAUGCUGAAUCUAACCGUGUAUUAAGUUUUUGGAUUUUGGGCCCCGUUUUUAAAUUGGUCCACAUUGAGGUCCAAAGGGUCCAAAAUUAAACUUUGUUUGAUUUCAUCAAAAAUUGAAUUAUUGGGGUUCUUUGAUAUGCCGAAUCUAACUGUGUAUUUAGAUUCUUAAAUUUUGGUUCCGUUUUCAAAUUGGUCUACAUUAAGGUCCAAAGGGUCCAAAAUUAAACUUAGUUUGAUUUUAACAAAAAUUGAAUUCUUAGGGUUCUUUGAUAUGCUGAAUCUAAACAUGUAUUUAGAUUUUUGAUUAUGGGCCCAGUUUUCAAGUUGGUCCAAAUCGGGGUCCAAAAUUAAACUUUGUUUGAUUUCAACAAAAAUUGAAUAUAUGGGGUUCUUUGAUAUGCUGAAUCUAACCAUGUAUUUAGAUUUUUGAUUUUUGGGCCCCGUUAUCAACUUUGUCCACAUUGAGGUCAAAAGGGUCCAAAAUUAAACUUUGUUUGAUUUCAUCAAAAAUUGAAUUAUUGGGGUUCUUUGAUAUGCCGAAUCUAACCGUGUAUUUAGAUUCUUAAUUUUUGGUUCCGUUUUCAAAUUGGUCUACAUUAAGGUCCAAAGGGUCCAAAAUUAAACUUAGUUUGAUUUUAACAAAAAUUGAAUUCUUAGGGUUCUUUGAUAUGCUGAAUCUAAACAUGUAUUUAGAUUUUUGAUUAUGGGCCCAGUUUUCAAGUUGGUCCAAAUCGGGGUCCAAAAUUAAACUUUGUUUGAUUUCAACAAAAAUUGAAUAUAUGGGGUUCUUUGAUAUGCUGAAUCUAACCAUGUAUUUAGAUUUUUGAUUUUUGGGCCCCGUUAUCAACUUUGUCCACAUUGAGGUCAAAAGGGUCCAAAAUUAAACUUUGUUUGAUUUCAUCAAAAAUUGAAUUCUUGGGGUUCUUUGAUAUGCUGAAUCUAACCAUGUAUUUAGAUUUUGGAGAUUGGACCAUAAUAGGUGAAUGUCCAAUUUAAAAUUUUUAAGUUCUUAGACCACAUUCAAUCUGUGUUAGAAACCUAUGCUGUGUCAAAUAUUUAAUCACAAUCCAAAUCCAAAGCUGUAUCAAGCUUGAAUGUUGUGUCCAUACUUGCUCCAACUGUUCAGGGUUCGACCUCUGCAGUCGUAUCAAGCUGCGCCCUGCGGAGCAUUUUAUUAUAGUUUGUUCUUAUGCUUUGCUGUAACACCACUGUCCCAGGUUUCAUUGUAGAGAGAGAAAGUAAUGAUUAACAUCUGUCUGUUUACACUUUGAAAGAAACUCCUAUAAGGUCUGUUGGCGGUCAUUUUAUGUAGGAUAUUGAGUCAUAAUUUAUAGAUUAGCAUAUGGACCUAACAUUUCAGUUGACAACUUUUGUAACUAUAUGAAACCUACAUUUUUUUCUGGCAGCAUUUUUUUUGUAUUGUAAUUGUUGUUGGUCUCGGACAGAAUAUAUGUUUGUGCGAUAACUUGUUUCAGCUGUCUGUUGGGCAUAUAUCCCAUGUCUUGUUUCAUUGAUAUUAUAAAAAUCUGCUCUCUAGAACUACUGGUAUAACUUUUUUAUAAACUUUCACAUAAAAAGUUAAAGCAGACAUACAUGAAGCUGUACAGACACUGUAUACAAUAAAAGAUAAUUCUGAAAUGGCAAUAGUGGAAAUCCACUUAAACACUAUAGAUUCAUCUUUCAAAAUAAAACACUCUAUAGAUUCAUCUUUCAAAAUAAAACACUCUAUAGAUUCAUCUUUCAAAAUAAAACACUCUAUAGAUUCAUCUUUCAAAAUAAAGGAGGAGGUAUGAAAAGAGCUUUUUUUUACUCAUUAUAAAAAUAAUGUGGUAUGAUUGCCAAUGAGACAACUAUCCACCCAAGUUCAAAUGAAGUGGAUGUGAACAAUUAUAGGCAACCAUACGGCCUUCAACAAUGAGAAAAACCCAUACCGUAUAGUCAGCUAUAAAAGGCCCCGAUAUGAAAAAUAUGAAACAAUUCAAUAGAGAAAACCAACAGCCUAAUUUAUAAAACAAUUUACAAAAAACAUAUAUGACGACAUGGAAACGAAAAUUGCAAAUGCCAAUACAUUUGCAUACCAAAUAUCAUUGACUUAACAUUUGUGGUUCAUCUUAAACUGACCUAAUCACAAACUAAUACAUGUAAACUAAGCAAAAGUUUGUCAAUAUACCAUGACUGAGGGGUAAUGACCAAAUUUUCUCCAUGGAAAUGAGAUGUGCUAAUGCUUAUACAACUGCAUACCAAUUAUCAUUGACCUACCACUAACGGUUCCCCUUAAACUGACCUAAUCACAAACUAAUACAAGAAAACUAAGUAAAAGUUUCAAAGUCAAUAAACCAUGACUGAGGGGGCUGGGCCAAAUAAUCUCCAUGGAAAUGAGAUAUGCCAAUGCUCAUAAAACUGCACACCAAAUAUCAUUGACGUACCACUAGUGGUUCCCAUAAACUGACCUAAUCACAAACUAAUACAUGUAAACUAAGCAAAGUUUCAAAGUAAAUAGACCAUGCAUAAGGGGGCGGGGCCAAAUAAUCUCCAUGGUAAUGAGAUGUGCAAAUGCUAAUACAACUGCAUACCAAAUAUCAUUGACCUACCAUUAGUGGUUCCCCAUAAACUAGACCUAAUCACAAACUAAUACAUUGUUGCUGCCGCCGCUGGAAACAGCAUACAUAUGUCUCGCUUUUUGACUCUGUCAAGGCGAGACAAAAAUCAUGUCAGUUUUAUUGAUAAAUAAAUAUUGUGAUAUUCUCUAGUCAUUCUUAAGACAAGCAUGUCAUUGAUGAUGGCAUGUUUGACAUAAUAUAACCAUAAAUUUUGUUUUACCUAAUCUAAAUAUUAAUGGUAAGAUUUCAAAUUAACCCAUUUACCCAGUUACUCAAUAUUUUCUUAACAUUUUGCUGCAGAAUAUCAAUAUUGUUAUUCUAAUUUAAUACACAGACUUAACUGCUUAUGUUCUUGUUACUGCUAUUUACUUGUAUUACUUGGUUGGUCCAUGAAGUUUUUCAAGACUUGUUUUUCAAGGACCUUUUACAGCUUUCAGUAUUAAUGUUGGAGCCCUACAGUGAUUUCUCUUUUGCAUCAUUCUUUUCUUGAUAUUUUCAAUAUUUUCAUCUCAUGGCAUAGAAAAUGACUUAGAAAUAAUUUCAACAACCAUAUUUAGUGAUUUUAAUGAGAGGGAACACAUAUGUACAAGAAUGAAUAAAAUAAAAUGUCUAUUAACUUUU
Molecule: long non-coding RNA, 4428 nt
Organism: Mytilus californianus (California mussel)
Lineage: Eukaryota; Metazoa; Mollusca; Bivalvia; Mytilida; Mytilidae
Exons: 2
Source: RefSeq, a predicted model, not a curated record